CCUACGGGAGGCAGCAGUGAGGAAUAUUGGUCAAUGGACGAAAGUCUGAACCAGCCAAGUAGCGUGAAGGAUGACUGCCCUAUGGGUUGUAAACUUCUUUUAUAAAGGAAUAAAACGAGGCACGUGUGCCUUUUUGCAUGUACUUUAUGAAUAAGGAGCGGCUAACUCCGUGUCAGCAGCCGCGGUAAUACGGAGGAUCCGAGCGUGAUCCGGAUUUAUUGGGUUUAAAGGGCGCGUAGAUGGGUUGUUAAGUCAGUGGUGAAAGUUUGCGGCUCAACCGUAGAAUUGCAGUUGAUACUGGAAGUCUUGAGUACAGAUGAGGUAGGCGGAAUUCGUGGUGUAGCGGUGAAAUGCUUAGAUAUCACGAAGAACCCCGAUUGCGAAGGCAGCUUACUAAACUGUGACUGACAUUGAUGCUCGAAAGUGUGGGUAUCAAACAGGAUUAGAUACCCCAGUAGUC
RNAcentral lists this ribosomal RNA (460 nucleotides) under uncultured bacterium. Its description in RNAcentral is "partial 16S ribosomal RNA". It matches the Rfam family "Bacterial small subunit ribosomal RNA", at positions 338 to 795 of the family's 1533-position model. The record is from RNAcentral.